GUCCACGCCCUAAACGAUGUCAACUAGGUGUUGGGAGGGUAAAACCUUUUAGUACCGGAGCUAACGCGUGAAGUUGACCGCCUGGGGAGUACGGCCGCAAGGUUAAAACUCAAAGGAAUUGACGGGGACCCGCACAAGCGGUGGAUGAUGUGGAUUAAUUCGAUGCAACGCGAAAAACCUUACCUACCCUUGACAUGUUCAGAACCCUCGAGAGAUUGAGGGGUGCCCGAAAGGGAGCUGGAACACAGGUGCUGCAUGGCUGUCGU
Molecule: ribosomal RNA, 266 nt
Filed under: uncultured bacterium
Lineage: Bacteria
Description: partial 16S ribosomal RNA
Rfam family: Bacterial small subunit ribosomal RNA
Source: RNAcentral